RNAcentral lists this microRNA precursor (208 nucleotides) under Oryza barthii. RNAcentral's name for it is "MIR812 microRNA precursor family". It matches the Rfam family "MIR812 microRNA precursor family". The record is from Rfam by way of RNAcentral. Lineage: Eukaryota; Viridiplantae; Streptophyta; Magnoliopsida; Poales; Poaceae.
AAUAAGUACAGUUUUACACUAUUUACGUUCAACGUUUGACCGUUCGUCUUAUUUGAAAAUUUUUUAUGAUUAGUAUUUUUAUUGCUAUUAGAUGAUAAAAUAUGAAUAGUAUUUUAUGCGUGACUAAAUAUUUUUAAAUUUUUCAUAAAUUUUUUAAAUAAGACGGACGGUCAAACGUUGGGCACGGAUAUCCACGGCUACACUUAUU